Molecule: ribosomal RNA, 348 nt
Filed under: Bacillus cereus
Lineage: Bacteria; Bacillati; Bacillota; Bacilli; Caryophanales; Bacillaceae
Description: bacterial SSU rRNA
Rfam family: Bacterial small subunit ribosomal RNA
Source: RNAcentral
UUUAUUGGAGAGUUUGAUCCUGGCUCAGGAUGAACGCUGGCGGCGUGCCUAAUACAUGCAAGUCGAGCGAAUGGAUUAAGAGCUUGCUCUUAUGAAGUUAGCGGCGGACGGGUGAGUAACACGUGGGUAACCUGCCCAUAAGACUGGGAUAACUCCGGGAAACCGGGGCUAAUACCGGAUAACAUUUUGAACUGCAUGGUUCGAAAUUGAAAGGCGGCUUUGGCUGUCACUUAUGGAUGGACCCGCGUCGCAUUAGCUAGUUGGUGAGGUAACGGCUCACCAAGGCAACGAUGCGUAGCCGACCUGAGAGGGUGAUCGGCCACACUGGGACUGAGACACGGCCCAGAC